GACGAACGCUGGCGGCGUGCCUAACACAUGCAAGUCGAACGGGAGCAAGUGGCUUCGGGUAUUUAGCUUUAGUGGCGAACGGGUGAGUAACGCGUGAAUAACCUGCCUUUCAGUGGGGGACAACAGUCGGAAACGACUGCUAAUACCGCAUGACGCUUCUUGGGGGCAUCCCUGAGAAGUCAAAGCUUUAUGUGCUGAAAGAUGGAUUCGCGUCUGAUUAGCUAGUUGGUGAGGUAACGGCUCACCAAGGCGACGAUCAGUAGCCGGUCUGAGAGGAUGAACGGCCACAUUGGGACUGAGAUACGGCCCAG
This 311-nucleotide ribosomal RNA is filed under the name uncultured bacterium. RNAcentral's name for it is "bacterial SSU rRNA". It matches the Rfam family "Bacterial small subunit ribosomal RNA", at positions 28 to 334 of the family's 1533-position model. The record is from RNAcentral.